AUAGCUUGCUAAAGGCCAACAUUUCCAGAAGCGGCCUCUGAGUUUGGGUGUGCAGCUUGACGCUGUUGGAUCUGAUUAUCAAAGCAGCAGAGGGCCCCCAUCAACUCAAUUUAUUGGGAGCACCCACAUUUCCAACUGAAUUCAUUCAGGUGCUCAGGUACCUCAAACUCAUGCCUAAAAGAAACUGUAAGCUGGCUACUCAAUAAGAGACAGCCACAAGGAGAGGUUACUUACCUUGUACAGUAACUAGAGUUCGAGAUGUGUCCCCCUAGGGAUGCUCCAUGUCAGAAUGUAUGCACGCUUGGGCACAGCUGAUCAGAGAUAUUCAUCAGCAACAUCUGUGGGUCUGCGUCUGAGUCGUAGACACCCUUGUAUGCCGGUACAGGGGUAUGUACGGAAGGGCCAGACCUGCUGCCACUCUAGUUCCUUCUAAACCAUGAAAAUCCAACGAAAGACUCCAAGGUAGAGGGUGGGUAGCGCAGCACCCAUAGGGAUGCACAUCUCAUAGCACUCCAGUUCCUGUACAAGGUAAGAAACUUCCUCUUCUCCUUUGAGUAGUGUCCCUAUGGAUGCUCCGCAUCAGGAGAUUCCUGAGCAGUACCUCAGUUACAAAGGAGGGUACCAAGGAGAUGGAUUCAGUAGAGACUGUAGAACAGUGUCCCCGAAAGCUGCAUCAGCUCUAGAAGAAGGCAGAAGAACAGAGGUGGGGAACACGUGCACCAAAUACCAGGUGGCUGCCCUGCAGAUGUCUGAGACAGAUAUAUUUUUCAGUAGGGCUACAGAUGUAGAUUGAGUCCUGGUGGAAGAAGUAUGAGGGUGGUGACACAACCCUCCCUCCCUCCCCCCACCUGGCUUCAUAACUAAGAUGCAUCCUGCAACUCAUUUGGACAGUCUUUGGGUGGAAAUCAUCUGUCCUUUCAUUCCUUCUGGGACUGAGAUGGAAGCCUAGGUGAACCUCUAAAGGGCCUAGUCCCAUCUAGGUAAAAGGCAAAAGCUCUGUUUUUGUCCAGCAUAUGGAGGCCCACUUCUUAAAAAUGCCAGUACGUGAAUCUCCUGAUUAACGUGGAAUUCUGACGAACUUACCACAAGAGAACACUAGCAGGUCAGCCAUUAAGGCUCCAAGCUCCCCUCUCUCCUGGCUGAGAUGAUGGCUGUGAAGAACAAGGUUUUAAGGGACAAGAGCAGGUAAUCCAGAAUGUGUCUCAGGACUCGAGCAGAGAUAUAGACUGCUGGCUGCACCAAGUCUGGAAGUGUUUCCACUUCUGGAGACCUUGAGCAGGAAAGGCGUCAGGGGAUAAGCAUAUAGCAAUGUGCCAGGCCAAGGGAUGACUACAGCAUCUCCAGUCAAGUUGUGGAAACACACUCCCCUUGUUUGCAUUGGAUGGCAUCACAAAAAGAGAUUCUCUCUGAAUGACCCUAGGUAAGACAUCUCUCAAAAUACUUAGCUGUUCAUCUCCCACUCAUGGUCAAUAAGGAAACCCGCCAUUGUGUUCUGUGCUCCUGGUAGAUAAACUGCUGAGAUCCGUAUAUGGUGUGAUAAGCACCAAUUCCAUAGUUUUAGCAAUUCAGUGAAUAAAUGACUGGAACCUUGCUCCUCAUUGUCCAUUGAUAUAAUACAUUGCUGCUCUAUUGUCCAGCAAUAUUCUGAUCAGGUGGCCCCAGAUGUGGGGUGGGAAUGCUGGCACGUGUAACAAACAGCUCUGAACUCUAAUAUGUCGAUAUGAAGGAUCUCCACCUGAGGCGAUGUAAUGCACGCUCCCAAUGAGGAGUCCAUUUGCUCUGAGCUGUGAUGUUUUGGGAGUGUGCACCCCAGUUUAUCAGGGAGGAGUCUUUAGUGAUGAUCCUUGUGGGCAGAGGCUGAAAAAAUGGAACUCCCACAAACACCUUUUUGAGGCUUUUCCACCAAUUUAGGGAAUCAAGGACCCACUGAAGUACGGACACCCACUUGGCUAAACUGUGCUUGUUGAGGGCACUGAUGCUUCUCAGCCAGGCUUGAAGACACAGAGCGUAGUCUUGCUAAGGGUAUUCCAAACAUACAGGCUGCUACGUGGCCCAAGCCUUGCAGGCUAGCCCUUGCUGUAGUUUGCAGGCUGUAUGGUAUCGUUGAAACAAGGUUGGACACUGUGACAAAUCUGUCUUUGGGCAAGUAUUUCUGGUAGUGGUGGAAGAGCAGAGUGGUGCUGAUGAAGUCUAUUUGAUGACUGGGUGUAAGGGUAGACUUUUCUGCAUUGAGAAGAAAGCCCAGUAAGUGGAACAGAAAUAGGGCCAUAAUGGCUGUUGUCUGUACCUUGAGAAAUGAGAAACCUUUCAGGAACCAGUCAUCCAGAUAGGGAAAAAUUAUUAUACCUAUGUGGAGAAGAUGGGCUGUGGCAGCCAAGAAUAAAGAUCCUUGGGGCAGUGCAAAGGCCAAAGAGUAGGAUAUUAUACUGGUAGUGAUCCCUGCCAACCAUGAAAAGUAACAUGCAUCUGGGCGAGGAGUGCAUGACAAUAUGACAAUAAGUAUCCUGAAAAGCAAGGGAAACAAACCAAUCUCCUAGGUCCAGGGAGGGAAUUAUCAGUGCUGGGGUGAUAACAUUCUGAAUCACUGAAAACAAAGGUGUUCGAAGUCCUGGGGGCCUAGAAUUGGUUUCCACCCUCCAUUUUACCUUGGGACCAGGAAGUACCGAGAAUAGAACUCUCUUCUGACAAAGCCCAGUGCAACAGGUUUGAUUGCCCUUAGCAUUAGGAGAGAUUGUACCUCCUGCCUCAAGAGACCUUAUGAAAAGGGUCCCUGAAGAGGGACGGGGAGUGAGGAGGGAGGACAAAAAGAAGGUGAACUGGAUGAAGUAACCUGUAGAACUCAUCUCCAGGAUCCAUCUGUCUAAGGUGAUGAGCUCCCAAAAAUGUAGAAAAUGGGUAAGAAUGAAGGGGGGAUAGGUGCAGCAUAGGAUCUCCAGUGGGAGAGUUUGUGAUCCUUGACCAAUGAUCAAAGCAGUUGUUUUCAGGGUUUUGCUGACUGUGAGGUUGCUGCAAAAGACAGCCCUUUCUCAGUGAAACUGGGCUUCUUCCGGGGUGUUCAGCUGGUUCUAUGGGCUGGUAUUGGAUUUGGUGAGACUGUUGAGCUGUCUGCAAUCCAUAGUAUUUUCUGCUUGUCGCAGGGGCUCAGGUGCCCAAAAUACUCACAGUGUUGCCAAGGAGUCUUCAAGAGAACAAAGGGACCAAUCUGUGAUGUCACUAAAUAACCUGAGGCCCUCGAAGAGAAGGUCCUCAAUAGUGUUUUGUACCUUCUGGGGAGGCUAGACAACUGCAGCCAAAAAGCUCGGCAUUUGAUUAGUGCCAUAGCUACAGAACGUGCAGCUGUGUCAGCAACACUGAGUGAGGCCUGGAGAGAGGCCUUGACAACCAGGGAGCUGGGCAUGGAUGUCCAUUAGGAAAUGUUGGGGUUCCCGUAUCUCCUCCAACAGAAUUUGUAAGGCCUUGAAGUCAUCAGCACAGGCUAGUUUGGCAGGAAUGACAGCUCAUCUGGAGAGGAGGAGAAUUUGUAGGAAGGUCGUGUUUCUUCUUCCUCAACUGGCUUUUGCUCCUUUUUAAGACCCUCCUGUGGAUCAGGACCCAAGAGUGUUGGUGGUUGUCCCUGGUGUGUCCUCCUGUAAGAUGGAACCCUAUAGAAACGGUCACCAUAAGGGGCCCAUGGGUUCCAAUAAAUCCACUGUAGUGGGACUUAAGGGAAGGUUGCAGGAUCUUAACGCUGUCAUUCUUAUCAUUGCUAGGAGUUUCCUGCCGCAGGGUUUACCUCAACGGAGGGAGGCUAGAAAUGGAGGAACCUUGAAAAGACACCUCUGAAUCAGAUGAGGUGUCAUCCCCUAUAUCUAUCAGAAGGGCAAGUGAUGCCUAUACUGGUGGUCGAGUUGGUACUGGGGCCCAGAGAGGGUCCUGUAACUGCAUCAGUACUGGAGGUCAGUAGUUGGUUGGCUAAUGAAAUGGUUCUGGAAAAUUUUGUGUGAUACCUCACGUUCUCCAAGUGCUCUAUCAAAGGAGUUUUAGUCUGCCCUCCCCCUAUUUCUUAGGCCUGCUUUAAAACCUGAGCAGGACUUGAGUGUCCCAGGCAGCAGAGGCAGCCUGAAUGUCUGUCGCUGGGGGGGAAGACCUAUGGCAGGUCUGGCAGGGUUUGAAGCUUGGGGUCUUUGCGUAACCCGUACUUAAGGCCACAGAUCAAGGCCCAGAGGGGAAAAAAAAAAAACAGGCUCAGAUCAGGCAAGUGAAAUGGGGAAAGGGAACACGCCCCUGUCAUAAAAGCACAAACUGUGUUAAAUAACUAGAAACAAAGAAAAUACCAAAGGUUAACAGAGAGUGGUAGCAAGCUGCAUAGCUAGGUAAGGACACUGCAACGCUCUGUCUCAAGCUGCAGGUGGUUGAGAAGGAAAUGGAGUGGCAGCAGGUCCUGCCCCUUCCUAUACACCUUCAGAUCGGAUCACAAGGGUCUCUAGGAUGCAGGCAUGGACCGCAGACAUUGCUGACAAAAUCUCCAAUUGAGAGUGUGUGGGUGUGCACGUCCUGACACGGAACAUUCAGAGGGACAUUACAGAAGUAUUAAACGGUCACUUUUGAAAAUUUGGCCCUUCAUCUCUCUGUGCUUUAGUUCUGCUAGCUGUAAAAACAGGAGAGUGGAACCUAAACAUCAGUCAAUGUCUCUUCAGUGUUUUCAAAAUGUAAAGUGCUACCUCACAGCUAAGUAUCAUUACAGUUUUAUGCUAAUGGCUGGCUGAAAGCUUCCUGUCUAUUGCUCGACUCCACCCAGUUCUCCUAAAUUCAUUCAUUUAGAGAACUGCUCUCAUCGGGAUUUUGUCAUCUACUCUCUUCCCACAAGAGGCUACAAAUAAAUAUUAGGAGAUUUCUGUGGUUCUUCACUG
Molecule: long non-coding RNA, 4889 nt
Organism: Gopherus evgoodei (Goodes thornscrub tortoise)
Lineage: Eukaryota; Metazoa; Chordata; Testudines; Testudinidae
Exons: 3
Source: RefSeq, a predicted model, not a curated record